AUGCUUUUAACUAUUGUGUUUCUGGGAGUUUCUGCCGUUGGCCUUUUCCUCCGAAAAAUUACCUUCUGUCGCUGUGCUCAAGCCUUGGAGAGGGAGACGGCAGAGAGCAAGGGUGCCUACAAGCGGCACAGAUGGAGAAUGAGGAAAAAGAAAAGAGUGCCAGGGAGACACAUGAGUGAGGAGCCAGCCCAGAAACGCCUGUGCCUGAAGAACGCUUUCUGGCGAGAUUCAGGACCUCAUUCGGUUCCCAUGAGGAACAGCAGCUGCGUCCCAAGUGAAAUCACAGAGAAGACAAAGUGACAAUUCCCAACCAAGGCCUUCCAUGAUGCGCAGCUCUGCUGGUUCUCGUGUGGCUUCUGUACCUUCAACAGCUGCCGAGUCCUGAGAUGACACGUGAUGGGAACUGUACACUAGAAAUUAAACACGUUUCUAAAACUUGCCUUUUUCAGAAUUUCCACCUCAUUUUUCCCUGGACAAAAGUAUUAUUUCUGUCAUAAUGCACUUAAAAUUUGUAUUACCUGGGAGUUAAAAGAAAUCUUCUGGCCAUGCCUAACUGACUUGUGUAUGUGGGAUUGCUCUGACAGAAAACCCUCUCCCAGUUUCCCUGCUUCUCUUCAAGAAUCCACAUUUCCCCAGAGCCAUCUGUGCUCAUGGGGGGCACCCCCAUAGUGAAGAAGACCCUUUGUCGAGAAGGGAAUCAGAGGGAAAAUGAGAGGGUCCUGCAGGCAGAGCUGGAAUAGACUUCCACUCUGCCUCCUGCAAGCUCUGUGACCCUGGGCACGUGUUCUUCUUCCUCGGGGAGGCUCUGUUUACUUAGAUUUGGAGCAGGGUGGUCACGCUGACUUGCAGAGUUCUGAGAAUCAGAGACAGAACAUAAAAGGCCUGGAGAACAUUCUCCUAAAAGAAGCUGUAACACAUGUGUGGACAAUGGGCUCUUCGUGCCUCUCUUACUCGCUAUUUAUCUGAUGCCAAGAACAUGCUCUGGUGAUGGCGGUGAGGGAGGAAUGAGGAUGGACAGAGACACUCCUGUGUCUGAAACAUGCUUCUUCCUUACUGCGCUAUGACUCUGUCUUCCCUGGGGCAGGCCCCCAGCCUGCCUACAUUUGCAGAGAGAUGCAGUGGCAUGCGGAGAAAACAGUUUGCCCCAACGACUCUUCUUCACUUCCCAGCUGUCAGUGGUACUUAGUGGAAGGGUGACUUCAUGACACUGAUGCUGCUGUUUUGAAACCUGGAGGAUGGAAAGGUGCAAAAAACUAUCAGCAGCAACAUAAGUUGCAGCCUGUGUUGUUGGUGGUGGUUCUGUCUGUCAAAUUAAUACAUGUGAAAACACUUCCU
RNAcentral lists this long non-coding RNA (1335 nucleotides) under Callithrix jacchus (white-tufted-ear marmoset). RNAcentral's name for it is "lncRNA (ENSCJAG00000072098.1)". The record is from RNAcentral. Lineage: Eukaryota; Metazoa; Chordata; Mammalia; Primates; Cebidae.